CCUACGGGGUGCUGCAGUGAGGAAUAUUGGUCAAUGGACGAGAGUCUGAACCAGCCAAGUAGCGUGAAGGAUGACUGCCCUAUGGGUUGUAAACUUCUUUUAUAUGGGAAUAAAACGUUCCACGUGUGGGAUUUUGCAUGUACCAUAUGAAUAAGGAUCGGCUAACUCCGUGCCAGCAGCCGCGGUAAUACGGAGGAUCCGAGCGUUAUCCGGAUUUAUUGGGUUUAAAGGGAGCGUAGGUGGAUUGUUAAGUCAGUGGUAAAAGCCCGGGGCUCAACCCCGUCGAGCCGUUGAGACUGGCGGGCUGGAGUUGAGGAGAGGUACGCGGAAUGCGCGGUGUAGCGGUGAAAUGCUUAGAUAUCGCGCAGAACCCCGAUUGCGAAGGCAGCGUACCGGCUCCACACUGACACUGAGGCACGAAAGCGUGGGUAUCGAACAGGAUUAGAUACCCGAGUAGUC
This 459-nucleotide ribosomal RNA is filed under the name uncultured bacterium. RNAcentral describes it as "partial 16S ribosomal RNA". It matches the Rfam family "Bacterial small subunit ribosomal RNA", at positions 338 to 795 of the family's 1533-position model. The record is from RNAcentral.